AUUGAACGCUGGCGGCAUGCUUUACACAUGCAAGUCGAACGGCAGCGCGGGGCAACCUGGCGGCGAGUGGCGAACGGGUGAGUAAUAUAUCGGAACGUACCCAGAAGUGGGGGAUAACGUAGCGAAAGUUACGCUAAUACCGCAUACGAUCUACGGAUGAAAGUGGGGGACCUGCGGGCCUCAUGCUUGUGGAGCGGCCGAUAUCUGAUUAGCUAGUUGGUAGGGUAAAGGCUUACCAAGGCGACGAUCAGUAGCUGGUCUGAGAGGACGACCAGCCACACUGUGACUGAGACACGGCCCAGACUCCUACGGGAGGGAGCAGUGUGGAAUUUUGGACAAUGGGCGCAAGCCUGAUCCAGCAAUGCCGCGUGAGUGAAGAAGGCCUUCGGGUUGUAAAGCUCUUUUGUCAGGGAAGAAACGGUGCGGACUAAUAUUCUGCGCUAAUGACGGUACCUGAAGAAUAAGCACCGGCCAACUACGUGCCAGCCGCCGCAGUAA
This 498-nucleotide ribosomal RNA is filed under the name uncultured bacterium. RNAcentral's name for it is "partial 16S ribosomal RNA". It matches the Rfam family "Bacterial small subunit ribosomal RNA", at positions 30 to 523 of the family's 1533-position model. The record is from RNAcentral.